UUAGAAUAAUAUAAAGCCCCUCACGACCCUCAGUCUUUGAUUCUUAAAGUUGUUAGGACACUUGUCUCCUCCACUAUACUUGCUUACAGUUCACAUAAGGCUGAUUUUGGUGCUUAGCAGCAGUUUUUGGCUCGAAUCAUGUGUGUGUAUAUAGAGGAUGCCCUUUUUACAAUGAGAAGAGAAUCUCAGUUCAGAAUGGCAAACUCUGUGACAUGUUGGCGCUGUAAGUACCCUUGAUGUAGUAUUUAUCUGCUGAUUCCGGUACUCUGUUGAUGCCCCUGCUGGUGGUUAUUUAGUCAUCUUUCUCCUUCUGUUCUAGCAAGGCAGUGCAGUUUUCUCAUACAAGUGGAAGGGAUUUGGUGAACAUGGCAAAGUAACACACAAAUGUUUAUUGAAGAUGCUCGACACCCAGCAAAAUACAGAAUGCUUGCUGGAAUUGUGGACGUAAUAUUCUCUGAUGUUCCUCACCCUUAUCAGGUUCAUUUUUGAGAUAUAAAUCUCCAACUGUCCAACAUUGUCUGCUUGAUUUUUCUGUGAAGAGUUUCUUUUCACUUAUUUGGUCUCGUGUUGAAACGGUCAAUAUCUUAUGGCUUCUAUUAUUUAACUUGAUUAUUGGUGUCUUUUCCUUUUGAAUUUUUUUCUUCUCAGUAGUCAUAUCUUUUUCUUUUCUGUUUCUUUUUUCAUUGCACGUUUUCAAGUUUAGUGCUUCUGUAGUGUUGGACGGUAUUAGCUGUCUUUUUCAGUUAAACUGCAGUCUGUUGGAUAUUACUUCCUACAGUGCUGAUUUUUAACAAAGAGCUGAACUAGUUUGUGAAAUUUUACUGAAUUUUGAAUGUUUGUUUCCUUGUAUAUUGAUUUCUAUAUUACUUCAUUUUCAACUGGUAUUUUUAUUGGAUGGCUUUACUCCCUACAAUGCUGAUAUUUUAGCGAGGAGUUAACUAGUUUUUCAAAUAGAUUAUCUUCUGAAAAUUGAUUUUUUAUCCUCAGAUAUUGAGUCUUUAAAUUCUUUUCAUUUCCAAAAUGUUGUUGUAUUUCGCUGUCGGUGUUUCAAAAUUUUCUUCCUCUUUGACUACUCUCAGAAAGCAGAUGAUGAGUUACUCGGAUUCCCCUUCUAGACAUCAUGGGUGAUGCAAAAACCGAGUUUCUGAUGCACUAUUCAUUGAUGUGAUGUUGAAAUUCUUAAUAUUUGUCUUUGCAUCAUUUUUUUCUGAUCCAUUAUUUGUUGGCGGAAUGUUUGAAGCUUUUAAUCUUUGCCGUUGCAUUAUUCCUUUCACCAUUUAUUGAGUCUUUUCGUUCCAUUCAUUUUCAAACUGGUGCCGUAUUUCUUCAAUCGCUUUUUCAGAAUUUUCUUUUUCUUUCCCUUUACUUAGAAUACAGAUGAUGAGUUACUCGGAUUCCCCUUCUAGACAUCAUGGGUGAUGCAAAAACCGAGUUUCUGAUGCACUAUUCAUCGUUUGUAAAUUUUAAUCUUUGUCUUUGCAUCAUUUUUUUCUGAUUCAUUAUUUGUUGGCGGAAUGUUUGAAGCUUGCCAUUGCAUUAUUCCUUUCACCAUUUAUUGAGUCUUUUCGUUCCAUUCAUUUUCAAACUGGUGCCGUAUUCCUUCAGUCGCUUUUUCAGAAUUUUCUUUUUCUUUCCCUUUACUUAGAAUACAGAUGAUGAGUUACUCGGAUUCCCCUUCUAGACAUCAUGGGUGAUGCAAAAACCGAGUUUCUGAUGCACUAUUCAUCGUUUGUAAAUUUUAAUCUUUGUCUUUGCAUCAUUCCUCUCUGAUGCACCAUCAUUUAUUGAGUCUUUGCAUUCCUAUAUUUUUAAACUAGUGCUAUAUCUCCUCUUCAUUUUUUUAGAAUUUUCUUUUUCGCUGACAUAGAAAGCAGAUGAUGAGUCACUCGGAUUCCCCUUCUAGACAUCAUGGGUGAUGCAAAACCCGAGUUUCUGAUGCCCUAUUAAUUGGCGGAUAUUUGAAAUUAGUAAUCUUUUCCUUUGCAUAAUUUUGCUGUUUCUUUUAGCUUGAAAAAGGAUAUGUAGGUAAAAUCUUUCAACUUUUUAAGAAAUUUUGGGGCAAGGAUUUUUCAGGACUAUUUUUUUAAAUUUUUUGUCCAACGUGCCGCGUGUCUUAAUCAAUGAAAUCACGCAAUAAAUUGUUAUUGAACUGGUGUAGCUCAUGGGUCAUGAUUAUGAGAGUGCCACUUGGAUAAGAAACUUCUGGUUUCAGUGAUUGGGAAGAUUAUUGCCUAUUUUUGGAGUUGUUGAGAGAUCUAACCGUCUGGUUUGGUAACAUGUGGAUCAUGGACUAUUCCUCGCUUCCCAUUUUUGUCGGAGAGAAGGUUUUGGGUCUUCCAGAUACUCAAGCAACUCGAAUCCAAAUUGUUAUUCCUUGGAUCAUCCAUUUCACCAGCAAAUUUACAAUUACAUAAUGCAGCAGGCUUUGCUUCGUAGACCUGUUUGGACUAUUAAACAGGGCUCUGUCCAUGUGAAUUUUCCUGAUGAGGUCACCGAAGGGACUGAGUUUGUUCAGACUUUGGCAUCAGAAUUUCAAAAAUUUGAAAAUCAGAAUGGGCUCGUUCGGUUGUUAGACGACCUUAGUAUUGAUGAUCAUAGACCAUAGAAAGUUCUGGUCCGAUAACAUCAUAAAAUAAGAGUUUGGGCCAUUAUCCACUUUAUCGGCUAACAAUUCUGGAUCCUCAUGCAAGUAUACUUAUUAAUAGCUCAUCAUGCACUCAACAGAGGGCUCUCUUCUAGUUAUGUAUUCUAAUUGCACGAGGUGCAUCCUCAAACUUAAAAUCACCAAGUUUAGGGCUACGUGGUUGACAUUUAUAAAUGUUAUAUUAGAUGUACAGAGGUAUAUGUUGCUCGAGCUCUUGUAGGAGAUCCUAUUUAUUAUCGCAUGUAUUGAUAAUAAAUGUUUAUCCGCCUCUGAUGUUGGUUCUCCUAUAUAUUGGUAUUAUGAUAGCAAUAAUGUCCAGUUAAUCCUUAAAGCUGGUUGAUGAUCUGUGUUUAAAGCAGUUGUGAAUUACGAUAGGACCGGACUAAAUGUAAGCAGUCUUUGGUAUA
Long non-coding RNA from Nicotiana attenuata, 3051 nucleotides. RefSeq lists it as uncharacterized. NCBI's taxonomy places the organism in Eukaryota, Viridiplantae, Streptophyta, Magnoliopsida, Solanales, Solanaceae. The record is from RefSeq and is a predicted model, not a curated record. The transcript is spliced from 2 exons.